AUCUCUUCGAAGAAAUCUAAUUAAAUUGGAACGAUACAUAGAAGAUUAGCAUAGCCCCGCAUGGAUGAAAUGCACAAAUCAAGAAAUGGUCCAAGUUCUU
Molecule: small nuclear RNA, 100 nt
Organism: Malania oleifera
Lineage: Eukaryota; Viridiplantae; Streptophyta; Magnoliopsida; Santalales; Ximeniaceae
Source: RefSeq, a predicted model, not a curated record